AGAUGGAGGGGAUCAAGCCUUCUGGCGAUCUAGACAAAANCAGUCCACCGUGGGCUUUGAAAAACGCUUUCCUUGAUAAAAUUUAAGCGUUUUAUAAGAGGAUGCCGGGGAAGGUUUUCCGGUUUAUCCCGGAGGGCUUGUAGCUCAGUUGGUUAGAGCGCGCGCUUGAUAAGCGUGAGGUCGGAGGUUCAAGUCCUCCCAGGCCCACCAGUUUAUCCAUUACUUUCAUAAGUGCUUUUAAAAAAUAAGUACUUCUAAAAAGAUUGCUUCUAAAAAGAUUGCUUCUAAAAAGAUUGCUUCUAAAAAGCUUAUCAAAAUUGGCAGGCUUAUUGCUUUUGUGUGAGUAAUCCAAAGUUAAAGCAAAUUAAUGGCAAAAAAACAGUUCAAAUGCUAAAUACUAAGGAGUCAAAAUUCCUUGCAAAGUGAUUUUUACAGCGUCCAUUUGGUUGAUAUAAAUUCCAAAUGCUCAUAGACGUCAAUGCCUAUAUGAAACUAUCGGUUCAAUCAUAUCGCUUUGAGUUAUAUAGAUUUUGUAAUCCCUCUUUUGAUCGUUUUAAACGCUUUAUCCUGAUUUAGGGGCCGUAGCUCAGCUGGGAGAGCACCUGCUUUGCAAGCAGGGGGUCGUCGGUCGAUACGUCAGUCCC
RNAcentral lists this unclassified non-coding RNA (644 nucleotides) under Bartonella henselae. RNAcentral describes it as "partial 16S-23S ribosomal RNA intergenic spacer". The stretch from base 134 to 207 matches the Rfam family "tRNA". The record is from RNAcentral. Lineage: Bacteria; Pseudomonadati; Pseudomonadota; Alphaproteobacteria; Hyphomicrobiales; Bartonellaceae.